CCUACGGGAGGCAGCAGUGGGGAAUUUUUCACAAUGGACGAAAGUCUGAUGGAGCAACGCCGCGUGCAGGAUGAAGGCUUUCGGGUCGUAAACUGAUUUUAUAGGUGAAGAUUAUGACGGUAACCUAUGAAUAAGGGUCGGCUAACUACGUGCCAGCAGCCGCGGUCAUACGUAGGACCCAAGCGUUAUCCGGAAUUACUGGGCGUAAAGAGUUGCGUAGGUGGCAUAGUAAGUAGGAAGUGAAAGCGUUCGGCUCAAACCGGAUAAACAUUUCUUAAACUGCUAAGCUAGAGAACGAGAGAGGUAGAUGGAAUUCCCAGUGUAGGAGUGAAAUCCGUAGAUAUUGGGAGGAACACCGAUGGCGUAGGCAGUCUACUGGCUCGUUUCUGACACUAAGGCACGAAAGCGUGGGUAGCAAACAGGAUUAGAUACCCUGGUAGUCCACGCCGUAAACUAUGGAUGCUAGCUGUUAGAAGUAUCGACCCUUCUAGUAGCGAAGCUAACGCGUUAAGCAUCCCGGCCUGUGUGAGUACGGUCGCAAGACUAAAACAUAAAGGAAUUGACGGGGACCCGCACAAGCGGUGGAGCGUGUUGUUUAAUUCGAUGAUAAGCGAAGAACCUUACCCAGGCUUGACAUCUUCGGAAGCUUUACGAAAGUAGAGUGUGCCUUCGGGAACCGAAUGACAGGUGCUGCAUGGCCGUCGUCAGCUCGUGUCGUGAGAUGUUGGGUUAAGUCCCGCAACGAGCGCAACCCUUGUCGUUAAUUGCCAUCAUUUAGUUGGGCACUUUAGCGAGACUGCCGGUGACAAACCGGAGGAAGGUGGGGGAUGACGUCAAGUCCUCAUGGCCCUUAUGGGUAGGGCUUCACACGUCAUACAAUGGUCGGUACAAAGGGUCGCCAACCCGCGAGGGGGAGCCAAUCCCAGAAAGCCGAUCGUAGUCCGGAUUGCAGGCUGCAACUCGCCUGCAUGAAGUCGGAAUCGCUAGUAAUCGUGGAUCAGCAUGUCACGGUGAAUACGUUCCCGGGCCUGUACACACC
RNAcentral lists this ribosomal RNA (1039 nucleotides) under uncultured bacterium. RNAcentral's name for it is "bacterial SSU rRNA". It matches the Rfam family "Bacterial small subunit ribosomal RNA", at positions 338 to 1391 of the family's 1533-position model. The record is from RNAcentral.